GACAGCAUAAUGGUUAUGCAAACAGACUCUCAUGCCUGAGGCUCCUAAGUCCCAGGUUCAGUCCCCCACACCACCAUAAGUUAGAGCUGAGCAUGCUUUGGUUUAAAAAAAAAAAUGUAGUCAGGUGCAGAGGAUGAGCUAGAAGGGAGCUCUGGAGAGUUUUAAGAAAGGAAGAGUUCCACCAUGAAUAGGAAAACCCAUGGGCAAAGAUCAGAGAAUGAUUUCUCAUUUCUGAGGAGGUGGGAGAAGAAAGCAACUUGAAUCUCUCUUUCUGAUAUGCUUCAGGUCUGGGUUCUCAUGGUGGUGAGAAGAAAUCUACUCUUGGACUUGGUAUCCCAAGUGCCACUUUGGAAACAAAGACCUAGAAAGGAGAGACACAUGGCCAAUCACAGAUCUCAGCUGUACCUGCUUCUGUGAAUAAAACUUGUUUUAAACACUGCUGUGCUCAGAAUGGUCCCAAGGGAAUAAUGAAACAGCAGACUGAAGCUAGAAGAGGCUAGAUCUUGUCUGGUGUGUCUGCACAGGGGCCUGCACCAUGUUGGAGCCAUGUGUCCUUCUUGCCACCAUCCUGACUUCCCACAAAAAAGCUAGGGUGCAGGCCCAGCCAUAUGUUUUGAAUAGAAUAGAACAGAGAGAGGUAAUGAGAUGAAGAUGUUCCAAGCAAAUAUUCUGGAAUCACAUCUGUUUUGCCCCCAAACUAGAAAAAAAAAAAAAAAAAGACAGGAAAAGGCCACAAUUAAGACUUAAAUCAUUCCCAAUGUAGGAUCUGGAAAUCUGUGGUCCUAAAUUGAAAGUAUAGACCUGCAAUUUACCAGGUCAGUGUAUUCAUCACUGAUUCUGACCUCUGGCAGUAAUCAGGUAAAUCCCUAAAUGUUCCUGGAAGUUGUCAUAUAGAUCUAUGCUGUCAUAUAGUUCUGGGUUAAACAUCAACAUUAUUCUAGAAGCAGGUGGAUGACUUUUUCACUCGGCAAAUGUCUCAAUGCUGAAUUGAAAGGGAAAACUUUUAUUAUUAAAUUUGGUGGUUUUAAUAUUUUUUUACUGCCACUAGCAUUAUUUGAGGGGACUUGGUACUUUCUUGAUGAAUCCACCACUCUUGGCAGCAACUUUUUUUGUUGUUGUUUUUGAUAGAGAUAGGGAGAAGUUGAGAUGGAAAGGGGAGACAUAGAGGGAGAGAGGAAAGGAGACACCUGCAGCACUGCAUUACCACUCUUAAAGCUUCCUUUAUGCAAGUGGGGACUGGGAGCUUGAACCUGAGUCAUUGCACAUGGUAACAGGUGUAGUCUACCAGGUGUCCCACUACCUGGACUCUGAUGGGUGAGUUCUUACAUAAUCCUUCCCAAACCCAGACAACUGACAUUGAUACAGUGUGAUUCAUUUAACCACAGACCUUCCCCUAGUUUCACCAGCUUUCUACUUGUACUCAUUCAGUUGCUGGCAUGUGGCCCUGCUUGGAUGCAGUGGGAAAGACACUAUCUAGAUCUGCACAAUUCUAAAGCAAUUGUAAGAAAUGAGUGAAUUCCUUGACCACCUAGAUAGGCUCCCCAUUUCUGACCUACUUCAGUUGUUCAACAUUUGGAACAAUUCCAAAACAACCUAGAAGGAUCAAGCAACAUGAAAGGCAAAUAGACCUUCCCAGAGUUUGCUGGCUAGAAAACUGACCAUAGGAGAAAAUUCUAGUUGGUUCUUACAGGUGAAUAGCAAUUAUGAUGGUGAUAAAGAACAUCAUUGAGAAUAAGUCAUGUGGUCCAGGAGAUGGUGCAAUGGAUAAAGCACUGGACUCUCAAGCAUGAGGUCCUGAGUUUAAUCCCCAGCAGCACAUGUAUCAAAGUGAUGUCUGUUUCUUUCUGUCUCCCCUCCUAUAUUCUCAAUAAUGAAUAAAAUCUUUAAAGAGAGAGAGAGAAUGAGAAUAAGUCAUUAUUUGGAAGCAGAACUAGGUUGCAUUUCACACAGGAACUUGUGCAAAGAGUAGAGUGCAAUGGCAAAGUUCCUGAACAUGUGGCAGAUCACUCUUUUCAUAGAAGUAGAUAACUUGUAUUUUCCUAAAUAUCUGCUCUUAAAAGGGCUAACAACCACAAGACCAAACAAAAUGCAAACACAAAUUUAUUUUUGUGUGACAUGACAGUUUUGUGAUAGCAUUUGAAAGAUGCCCUCUACGAGACCACAAAAUGUUGACCACAGGUCCUGUAGCAUGUCUUGAUAAAUAUUUGUUGAAUGUUGUUUUGGGGUGAAGAAAAGAUAAAAUGAGAUGAUUGUUACCUAGGCAAUUUUUGGAAGAGAAAGAAUCAAGGGAAAAUGAAUUUGCUGUAGAGUAGAGGCUUUAUCUUUCAAAUGAAAAAUGAGGGGAGGAACAGGAAAGUGUACCUGAGAAAUUCAUAUUCCAUGUGUGUUUUCUUUCUGAUGGUAGAAUUUAUCUACGUAAAUAUCUUAGUAAGUGUCUCUGAGAUUCUCAGACAACCAUGCAAGGAGGAGCAAGGACCAGACUCUGACCCCAAGCCCAGCCCAUUCCAACCCAGUUUUCAGCUACCUGUUAGUGACUUCUUGGGCCUCCCAAGACAAAGGAGCUAGCAAGAAGGAGAGCUUAGCCACACUCACAAUGGCACAAAGAGGAAGUAUGUACAGUGACUCUGGAGAGACCACUGUGGGAUAAGAAGCCUCUGAAAAAAAUAGGCUUAAAAAACCUUGAAAAUUUGGAGGAUUUCCUGUAAACACACGGAGAGAUCAUGAUAUAGCCUACCCAAUGUAAGCUGUUCACUAUUUACAGUGUCUGAUUAUGUUCUGUUGCUUGGUAGCUUUUCCCCAGAACUGAGCAUCUGAAGCAAUAUGGCGCUGGCUUCCUCCAGGAGGAAACAUUCAGGCCUUGUUUGUUCUGCAGGCUCUGCAGGGCAACAUGUCUCAUCAAAGGGUCAGUAGGCAGCCUGACUUAAUUUCUGCUUACCUGUCAUAGGAUAUGUACAAGUUCCCUGCAUUAGAAAAAGAAAAAAAUACCAAUUGUAUAUUUUCUUGCCUUUAUUUAUUCUCUGUAUGUCAGAUGAGAAUUGUAAAUAAUAACAAUUAAAGAAACAUGCUGCUGA
This is a long non-coding RNA of Erinaceus europaeus (western European hedgehog), 3071 nucleotides long. RefSeq lists it as uncharacterized. The record is from RefSeq and is a predicted model, not a curated record. Lineage: Eukaryota; Metazoa; Chordata; Mammalia; Eulipotyphla; Erinaceidae. The transcript has 2 exons.